GUGGCUUUAGUUUAGUAAAAUACCUGCUUUGCAAGCAGGAGAGCUAAGUUAAAAUCUUAGAAGCUACA
This 68-nucleotide transfer RNA is filed under the name Nacospatangus altus. RNAcentral's name for it is "Nacospatangus alta tRNA-Ala". It matches the Rfam family "tRNA". Rfam says of the family: Transfer RNA (tRNA) molecules are approximately 80 nucleotides in length. Their secondary structure includes four short double-helical elements and three loops (D, anti-codon, and T loops). The record is from RNAcentral. Lineage: Eukaryota; Metazoa; Echinodermata; Echinoidea; Spatangoida; Maretiidae.